Molecule: ribosomal RNA, 270 nt
Filed under: uncultured prokaryote
Description: partial 16S ribosomal RNA
Rfam family: Bacterial small subunit ribosomal RNA
Source: RNAcentral
UACGUAGGGGGCUAGCGUUAUCCGGAAUUACUGGGCGUAAAGGGUGCGUAGGCGGUCUUUCAAGCCAGAAGUGAAAGGCUACGGCUCAACCGUAGUAAGCUUUUGGAACUGUAAGACUUGAGUGCAGGAGAGGAGAGUGGAAUUCCUAGUGUAGCGGUGAAAUGCGUAGAUAUUAGGAGGGACACCAGUAGCGAAGGCGGCUCUCUGGACUGUAACUGACGCUGAGGAGCGAAAGCAUGGGUAGCGAACAGGAUUAGAUACCCUGGUAGU